GAUGAAGAACGCAGCGAAAUGCGAUAAGUAAUGUGAAUUGCAGAAUUCAGUGAAUCAUCGAAUCUUUGAACGCACCUUGCGCCCCUUGGUAUUCCGAGGAGCAUGCCUGUUUGAGUGUCAUUAAAUUCUCAACUUUCCAGUGCUUUUUUAUAAAAGCCCUGGUAAAGCUUGGACUUGGAGUGUGCUGGCUUCUCACAGAAUGUUAGCUCCUCUUUAAAUGCAUUAGUGAAUCCCUUGUGGAUCAGCUUUGGCGUGAUAAUUAUCUACGUUUUAGCUGUGAAACAGACUCUUGUUUGAGAAGGAUAUUCGCUUCUAACUGUCCUCUUGGACAAAUGUUUAUUGACCAUUUGACCUCAAAUCAGGUAGGACUACCCGCUGAACUUAAGCAUAUUAAUAAGCGGAGGA
Molecule: unclassified non-coding RNA, 405 nt
Filed under: soil metagenome
Description: partial contains 5.8S ribosomal RNA, internal transcribed spacer 2, and large subunit ribosomal RNA
Rfam family: 5.8S ribosomal RNA (bases 1-120)
Source: RNAcentral